RNAcentral lists this ribosomal RNA (506 nucleotides) under uncultured Glomeraceae. Its description in RNAcentral is "SSU rRNA". It matches the Rfam family "Eukaryotic small subunit ribosomal RNA", at positions 569 to 1078 of the family's 1831-position model. The record is from RNAcentral. Lineage: Eukaryota; Fungi; Glomeromycota; Glomeromycetes; Glomerales; Glomeraceae.
AGCAGCCGCGGUAAUUCCAGCUCCAAUAGCGUAUAUUAAAGUUGUUGCAGUUAAAAAGCUCGUAGUUGAAUUUCGGAAUCGACGGAUUGGUCGCGCCUUCGGUGUGUACUGGUCUUGCCGGUUUCUCCCUUCUGACGAACCACGAUGUCAUUAAUUUGGUGUCGUGGGGAAUCAGGACUGUUACUUUGAAAAAUUAGAGUGUUUAAAGCAGGCAUUAGCUUGAAUACAUUAGCAUGGAAUAAUGAAAUAGGACGUUUGAUCUUAUUUUGUUGGUUUCUAGGAUCGACGUAAUGAUUAAUAGGGAUAGUUGGGGGCAUUAGUAUUCAAUUGUCAGGGGUGAAAUUCUUGGAUUUAUUGAAGCUAACUACUGCGAAAGCAUUUGCCAAGGAUGUUCUCAUUAAUCAAGAACGAAAGUUAGGGGAUCGAAGACGAUCAGAUACCGUCGUAGUCUUAACCAUAAACUAUGCCGACUAGGGAUCGGAUGAUGUUAAUUUUUAAUGUACUCA